AUUGAACGUUGGCGGCAGGCCUAAAACAUGCAAGUCGAACGGUAACAGCGAGAGCUUGCUCUCGGCUGACAAGUGGCGAACGGGUGAGUAACACGUAGGAAUCUACCCAGUAGUGGGGGACAACCCGGGGAAACCCGGGCUAAUACCGCAUACGCCCUCUUAUUGAAAGAUAGGGGAGAAAGCGGGGGAUCUUCGGACCUCGCGCUAUUGGAGGAGCCUGCGUCGGAUUAGCUAGUUGGUAGGGAAAAGCCUACCAAGGCGACGAUCCGUAGCUGGUCUGAGAGGACGAUCAGCCACACUGGGACUGAGACACGGUCCAGACUCCUACGGGAGGCAGCAGUUAGGAAUCUUGGGCAAUGGGCGCAAGCCUGACCCAGCCAUGCCGCGUGUGUGAAGAA
Molecule: ribosomal RNA, 398 nt
Filed under: uncultured bacterium
Lineage: Bacteria
Description: bacterial SSU rRNA
Rfam family: Bacterial small subunit ribosomal RNA
Source: RNAcentral